GACGUAGGGCGCGAGCGUUGUCCGGAUUUAUUGGGCGUAAAGAGCUCGUAGGCGGCUUGUCGCGUCGAAUGCGAAAUCCUGCGGCUCAACUGCAGGCUUGCAUUCGAUACGGGCAGGCUCGAGUUCGGUAGGGGAGACUGGAAUUCCUGGUGUAGCGGUGAAAUGCGCAGAUAUCAGGAGGAACACCGGUGGCGAAGGCGGGUCUCUGGGCCGAUACUGACGCUGAGGAGCGAAAGCGUGGGGAGCGAACAGG
RNAcentral lists this ribosomal RNA (253 nucleotides) under uncultured bacterium. Its description in RNAcentral is "partial 16S ribosomal RNA". It matches the Rfam family "Bacterial small subunit ribosomal RNA", at positions 524 to 776 of the family's 1533-position model. The record is from RNAcentral.